GACGAACGCUGGCGGCGUGCUUAACACAUGCAAGUCGAGCGGUAAGGCCCUUUCGGGGUACACGAGCGGCGAACGGGUGAGUAACACGUGGGUGACCUGCCCUUAGCUCUGGGAUAAGCCUGGGAAACUGGGUCUAAUACCGGAUAUGACUCCAUGACGCAUGUUGUGGGGUGGAAAGCCUUGUGCGGCUAGGGAUGGGCCCGCGGCCUAUCAGCUUGUUGGUGGGGUGAUGGCCUACCAAGGCGACGACGGGUAGCCGGCCUGAGAGGGCGACCGGCCACACUGGGACUGAGACACGGCCCAGACUCCUACGGGAGGCAGCAGUGGGGAAUCUUGCGCAAUGGGCGAAAGCCUGACGCAGCGACGCCGCGUGAGGGAUGACGGCCU
This 387-nucleotide ribosomal RNA is filed under the name uncultured bacterium. Its description in RNAcentral is "bacterial SSU rRNA". It matches the Rfam family "Bacterial small subunit ribosomal RNA", at positions 28 to 417 of the family's 1533-position model. The record is from RNAcentral.